Amphibalanus amphitrite is the source of this 419-nucleotide long non-coding RNA. RefSeq lists it as uncharacterized. Lineage: Eukaryota; Metazoa; Arthropoda; Thecostraca; Balanomorpha; Balanidae. The transcript has 3 exons. The record is from RefSeq and is a predicted model, not a curated record.
UAUGCCACAACUGCUGUUUGGUGUAAACCAUUGAUGUAUUCUGUAUAGUUGGGAUGGGGUUGAAAAAUGUUAAUUGUUUACAGUGCUUUUUAGGACAUUUUAUGUCAUUAUUUAGUUUUAGUUCCUAAAUGUCCAUUCACAGGAAAAGACAAGGUCAUUUUUCUCACCAAAGAAGAUUAUGAGAAGCCAAGUACAAUUGAACUGGAGGAGGAGGAGCAGCCAACAGAUCAUUCACGAAUGUUGCCACGACACAUGACCGACCUUGCUAACUGCGACUGCUGGCUGGCCCUGAUGCAGCUCAGCCUCACCGAACGGGUUGCUCUGCCAGAUAAUCGGGACACUAAGGAAGACUCAGCCGACUACAGCGGGGCAUUAUGGGUUUCAGCCGGCUCCAGCGGGACAAAGUCGGACUCAGACGG